AUUGAACGCUGGCGGCAGGCCUAACACAUGCAAGUCGAACGAGUGGCGGACGGGUGAGUAAUGUCUGGGAAACUGCCUGAUGGAGGGGGCUAACUACUGGAAACGGUAGCUAAUACCGCAUACCAUCAGAUGUGCCCAGAUGGGAUUAGCUAGUUGGUGGGGUAAUGGCUCACCCAGGCGACGAUCCCUAGCUUGGCUGAGCGGGUGACCAGCCACACUGGAACUGAGACACGGUCCAGACUCCUACGGGAGGCAGCAGUGGGGAAUAUUGCACAAUGGGCGCAAGUCUGAUGGAGCCAAGCCGCGUGUGUGAAGAAGGCCUUCGGGUUGUAAAGCACUGUCGGCGGGGAGGCGGUACCCACAGAAGAAGCAACGGCUAACUCCGUGCCAGCAGCCGCGGUAAUAC
Molecule: ribosomal RNA, 406 nt
Filed under: uncultured bacterium
Lineage: Bacteria
Description: partial 16S ribosomal RNA
Rfam family: Bacterial small subunit ribosomal RNA
Source: RNAcentral